AGGAGCUUGCUCCUUUGACGUUAGCGGCGGACGGGUGAGUAACACGUGGGUAACCUACCUAUAAGACUGGGAUAACUUCGGGAAACCGGAGCUAAUACCGGAUAAUAUUUCGAACCGCAUGGUUCGAUAGUGAAAGAUGGUUUUGCUAUCACUUAUAGAUGGACCCGCGCCGUAUUAGCUAGUUGGUAAGGUAACGGCUUACCAAGGCGACGAUACGUAGCCGACCUGAGAGGGUGAUCGGCCACACUGGAACUGAGACACGGUCCAGACUCCUACGGGAGGCAGCAGUAGGGAAUCUUCCGCAAUGGGCGAAAGCCUGACGGAGCAACGCCGCGUGAGUGAUGAAGGUCUUCGGAUCGUAAAACUCUGUUAUUAGGGAAGAACAUACGUGUAAGUAACUAUGCACGUCUUGACGGUACCUAAUCAGAAAGCCACGGCUAACUACGUGCCAGCAGCCGCGGUAAUACGUAGGUGGCAAGCGUUAUCCGGAAUUAUUGGGCGUAAAGCGCGCGUAGGCGGUUUUUUAAGUCUGAUGUGAAAGCCCACGGCUCAACCGUGGAGGGUCAUUGGAAACUGGAAAACUUGAGUGCAGAAGAGGAAAGUGGAAUUCCAUGUGUAGCGGUGAAAUGCGCAGAGAUAUGGAGGAACACCAGUGGCGAAGGCGACUUUCUGGUCUGUAACUGACGCUGAUGUGCGAAAGCGUGGGGAUCAAACAGGAUUAGAUACCCUGGUAGUCCACGCCGUAAACGAUGAGUGCUAAGUGUUAGGGGGUUUCCGCCCCUUAGUGCUGCAGCUAACGCAUUAAGCACUCCGCC
Molecule: ribosomal RNA, 815 nt
Filed under: Staphylococcus sp. RKEM 1626
Lineage: Bacteria; Bacillati; Bacillota; Bacilli; Caryophanales; Staphylococcaceae
Description: bacterial SSU rRNA
Rfam family: Bacterial small subunit ribosomal RNA
Source: RNAcentral